ACUGGUCGGAAUCUGGAUUUUAACAGGUGCUUCAGGCGAUUCUGGGACAAAGCUGUAUUUGAGGACCACUGCCUUGGGCCAACCUCUUCAUUUUUUCUUUUGAGGAAACUGAGACCCACAGAAGAUACGUGGGUUUUCUAAGGUGACAGGGCCAUUAAGAGGAAGGACCAAGAGAAAACUCAAGGCGUCUAAGACCUGUCCGGGGCUCAGUGCUCAC
Sapajus apella (tufted capuchin) is the source of this 217-nucleotide long non-coding RNA. RefSeq lists it as uncharacterized. Lineage: Eukaryota; Metazoa; Chordata; Mammalia; Primates; Cebidae. The transcript has 3 exons. The record is from RefSeq and is a predicted model, not a curated record.